RNAcentral lists this transfer RNA (90 nucleotides) under Allobosea sp. PAMC 26642. Its description in RNAcentral is "Bosea sp. PAMC 26642 tRNA-Ser". It matches the Rfam family "tRNA". From Rfam's summary of the family: Transfer RNA (tRNA) molecules are approximately 80 nucleotides in length. Their secondary structure includes four short double-helical elements and three loops (D, anti-codon, and T loops). Further hydrogen bonds mediate the characteristic L-shaped molecular structure. tRNAs have two regions of fundamental functional importance: the anti-codon, which is responsible for specific mRNA codon recognition, and the 3' end, to which the tRNAs corresponding amino acid is attached (by aminoacyl-tRNA synthetases). tRNAs cope with the degeneracy of the genetic code in two manners: having more than one tRNA (with a specific anti-codon) for a particular amino acid; and 'wobble' base-pairing, i.e. permitting non-standard base-pairing at the 3rd anti-codon position. Lineage: Bacteria; Pseudomonadati; Pseudomonadota; Alphaproteobacteria; Hyphomicrobiales; Alloboseaceae. The record is from RNAcentral.
GGAAGGGUGGCCGAGUGGUUUAAGGCAGCGGUCUUGAAAACCGCCGUGGGUGCAAGUCCACCGUGGGUUCGAAUCCCACCCCUUCCGCCA